GGGGCUCAGCGGCUUCCGGUGCGAGGCUGUGUGAGCGUAGGGUGCGGAGUUAAUGGUGCAGCUGCGGGAGCGGCCGUGUCUGCCGGCUGUGUGAGAGGAGGUCGCCGGCUGGCGGUGCAGCGGCCUCCGUCGCAGCCGUGUGGCUGUCCUAGUGCUUCAAACCCUUGUUGUUUUUUAAGAGGCCUGGAGUGCGAAGGUCUCAGGGAAAAAGAAUCCUUAGUUGACACCUGAUGGGAGGGUAGAAUGUGUUCUGCACACCCUCAUCCCACAGAGACAGCUUCAGUGGCGUGUGUGAGGAACGCUCCACAGCCUUCAGCUGAGGGGCACAAGCUGUGUCUGGAGAAGGGUAGGUUUCAAAAACAGUUGGGAAGUGUUCUUAAAAAUCACGGUUGCAGUGACUGAAGCUUUGAGCCCUUUCCUCUAAAAUGGCAUAGGGAAAUUAGUGGGUUUUAUUCCUUCUUUCUACUUUGGUAUUUUUCAGACAUCACUGUUGGUUCGUCACUACCCAGCGAUCUUUCAACCUUUGUUUGCAGGAUUUACUUGAGCAGCAUUUGCUGCCUGUGAAAACACAUGGGCAUUGACUCCAGAGUGAGGUACUGUCUGUUACUGCUGCACCUCGUCUUCAAUGGAACUGUAUAACCUACCAUAGCAGCAGCGUCAGAAGUGCCAGACAUGGCCCCAUCCAUCCCGGCAGUCCAUCCCUGGGCUCAGAAAGACCACCCCUCAGCAACAGCUGAGGAUCAGUGUUCACUACUGGAUCAGUGAAGCUGUAGCAAACACACGGCCCUGGGAACCUAUAGCUUUGGAGGGCUGAAGCUUGAUGAUCUUUAAGGUCCCUUACAACCUAAGCCAUUCUAUGAAGCACUGACAGCUACACAAAGAAUACCUAUCUGACCUACAGAUACACUGCACCAAAUGAAAUGCUGUCUCAUGUAUGUAAAAUGUAUAAAAUAGCUAUCACAAAAUUGUUCAGUUGGAAUAAAAAUACAGUGACACUGCAUUUCACAUACAUCUAAAUGAUUUCUUACGCAUUCUUUGUAAUUCUGAAUUGACUGGAUUUUAAUUCUUUUGAAUAAAAUAAAACAAUACCCCUUGUCGGCUGUCAAACA
This is a long non-coding RNA of Gallus gallus (chicken), 1109 nucleotides long. RefSeq lists it as uncharacterized. NCBI's taxonomy places the organism in Eukaryota, Metazoa, Chordata, Aves, Galliformes, Phasianidae. The transcript is spliced from 2 exons. The record is from RefSeq and is a predicted model, not a curated record.